GACGAACCGUGCGAACGUUGUUCGGAAUCACUGGGCUUAAAGGGCGCGUAGGCGGGCCUCCAAGUCCGGGGUGAAAUCCUCCAGCCUAACUGGAGAAGAGCCUCGGAGACUGGGGGCCUCGAGGAGGGUAGGGGCAAGCGGAACUAUGGGUGGAGCGGUGAAAUGCAUUGAUAUCCAUAGGAACGCCGGUGGCGAAGGCGGCUUGCUGGACCCUUUCUGACGCUGAGGCGCGAAAGCCAGGGGAGCAAACAGG
This 253-nucleotide ribosomal RNA is filed under the name uncultured bacterium. Its description in RNAcentral is "partial 16S ribosomal RNA". It matches the Rfam family "Bacterial small subunit ribosomal RNA", at positions 524 to 776 of the family's 1533-position model. The record is from RNAcentral.